GUGUUUAAUUCAGCAGCACGCAUACUGAAACUAGAAUGAUACAUAAGAAAUUAACAUAGGCUCUGCUAAAUGAUGUCAUGCAAAUUCAUGAAGCAUUUUAUAUUUUU
Molecule: small nuclear RNA, 107 nt
Organism: Aotus nancymaae (Ma's night monkey)
Lineage: Eukaryota; Metazoa; Chordata; Mammalia; Primates; Aotidae
Source: Ensembl